Long non-coding RNA from Sebastes umbrosus (honeycomb rockfish), 1461 nucleotides. RefSeq lists it as uncharacterized. The transcript is spliced from 3 exons. NCBI's taxonomy places the organism in Eukaryota, Metazoa, Chordata, Actinopteri, Perciformes, Sebastidae. The record is from RefSeq and is a predicted model, not a curated record.
GUUCCAUUCCUCAACCAGGAUUCGUUGCAGGUCAGCCAGCGUGGAAUGUGCUUUAGCCCUGGUUGGAUUCUUUAAGAGGCCAUCCAGCAGGGUGACCAGAGGGGGGGUGGGGGUCAGUGUGUGGUGGCAGUGCCCUCUGUUCAUAGUGAGAUUAGAGGUUGACCUGCCCCCUCUGUUUCCCCCUCAAAGCUCCAACUCCUCCACAAGUGCCCUCUCCCUUUCUUUAACCUCUGAAUGAGCCAGCACUGAAGGAGUUUGUGGGAAUAAAAGACCUCUCCACUCAAGUCUCCCACCUGGUAACAGCACAGUUAAUCGUCUUAAAGCAAGCUAAAUAUUUUGCUCUGUCAGAGUCUUCAAAUCAUUUUCCAACAUCCACAGUGAAUAGACAUUUUUAGUUAUUCUUUCCCACACUUGAUGAUGGUUGAGAUGAUGCCCAGAGAGUUAGUGUAGGGGGAGAGCGGGGUUGGUCGGGACGGCAGAGAGUCAGAGACUUUUUAGUAAGUUAGAAAGCAACUAUGCCAUUCACCAUGUUCACCAUGCGCUCGUACUCAGCCCACCCUCUUCACUUUCAACCUCAAUGUGGGAGACCUUCUGACUGUUCCUCACGUUUUAUUCACAGAUAUAUAACUAUCAAAGGAAGCUCAAUUCCCUCCUUUCCCUUCGAGUUAUCUGGGCCCACGAGGGAGUCUGGGCUUCGUCAGGAGUCACGGUCCCCCUCCCCGAAGAGCCACCCUGAGGAACUCGAGGAAGAGCCCUGAUCCGGGAACAUAAGGAACACCGUCUGACCCCGUCCACACCAGGAAGGACACGCCGCCACAAUGACAGGCUGGAGGAGAGGAAGGAAAAGCAUCAGCAGCAGAAAACGAAGGUCCUUUGUUUGCCUUGUGCCUCGUGAGACGGUCUGUGUUGGCAGAUUUAUGACCGCCAUCCUGAUCAGGACUUAGUGUCAUGGCGGCUGAGAGUACGAGUGCUAUGGAGGGAGAUCUAGGACAGUGGUUCCCCUUUUUCCAUCACUGAGUAAAUUAACAACCCCUGACUAUUUCAUAUUAUAUUCAAUGCAUAACAAUAACGGUACAGAACAACUAAUAAACUGUACAAUUAACCCAAAUAGUGAAUGUAAUACUGCCAUUUGGAUGAAUUUUGAGCAGAUUAUUUCCUGUGUAUUUCCUAUUGCAAUGGAGAUGAGUUUUCCUGUUAUUUUAAGAACUUUUAAUACAAUUCUUUGUCUGUAUUAUGUCGGGGGGGGGGUUCAUUGUUAACAAUCACACAAACUUAAUAGGCUUCUUUCUUCUCCCUGAUGCUUGGUCAUUGUUCCAUUAGCUCUUUGAUUGUUUUAACUGUGUACUUAUCUAAUGCAGGAUGGUUGUUUAGCAGAGAGGGGUGGCUCUGUGUUCAGGUCUUCACCGUGAAACUUAUCCUCUUAAAUAAUAAUCCAAACUUUAAAAAUAACAAUUUCAUUUA